UGGGGUCAGUCUCGCUUCAGCCGCCGUAGAGUAAGGGUGGCAGAGCGGAGUUGAGGAAGCUAAGUCUGAGCGAAGUCGUGCGUGCGUUUCUCUUGUUCUCUCUCUUUUAAAAAAUCAUUAACUUUGAAUUCCUGCAAACUGUUAACAUUCCCGACGGUGUAAAAGGAUACAAUGGUCUAAAGGCUUUGUAUUAUUACAUGUAAUUCUUGAAAAUCUUAGAGCAGGAGUGAGAUAAUUAAGGUUUUAACGAGACGCAACUUUUAGCAAAUAUUCGGAAAGACCAGUGAAGGAAAGAAAAUAAAAUAGAAUUAUCCUUAAAAUCAUGAAUAUUUCGAGUGCCUCCUUCGUGACCUGACCUUUUGACCUCAAGGGCAGAAAUAUAGAAAUAAAAAAAAAGAUGGACUGUUUGAAAUAUUAGGGAAAAAAAAAGAGACUAACUUCGUGACUUUAAUUAAGCCAAAAGUGACCUCGUGGUGGAGUCAUCUGGCGGUGACCUGACCCUCACUCUCCCGCCCCUGACUUGCCGCGGGCGUGAUGAGGGCGGCGCGUGAGUGACCAUCCCUCCCGCCAACCCUCCCGCCCACACCUCCGAGAAGGUCUCCCCGCCCCUUCACUCUCAGAGAUGCAGCCUCCAAGGGUCGGCGGAGGAAGCAAGGCAGGUCGGCCGGUAGUGAUGGUGGCGGCAGCUGCUUCCAUCAUGCUGUGUCUUUUACCUAAGCUGUCGUCUUGCACGCCUGCCCCGCCCACCACCCCCACAGCGACGCCCACAGAAGACGUGGCAGAACCUCAAUGGAUCCCGACAGGAGGAGGUGGAGGAGGCGGAGGAGGAGGAGGAGCAAAGGUAGAAGCGGAAAUGGGAGGACCAACAGCAGCAGGGAGAAGAGAAACAGCAUCAGCAUCAGGAGGAGGAGGAGGAGGAGGAGCACCAACAGGAGGAAACAUAAUGAUGACACACGAGGAGGCGAUGAAAGAGGUACUAGCGGAGGUGAGACAAGGCCAGGUGAUGCUACAAGGCCUACCUGGAUAUGUACCUGGCCAUAACGUGGUACCUGGAAACGGUCAGAUGCCAGGCUCAAUACCAGGCCGGCUUCAAGGACCUCUACCGGGACAAAUACCAGGGGGACUGCAAGGAGUACUACCAGAACAGGGGCAAGCCACAGGGGAGCCGAACUUGGAUUUAAGUCACAUCCUCCCUGAGUUGAACUUAGAGAACAACACUGUGACGGAAAUAAACGCCAAUGUAGGGGACGUGGCUCACCUGCCGUGCCGCUUCCCUCAGCUGUCAACCCUGCACCAGAAGGCGUUUCUGCUCCUACAAGUGUCGUGGAUCAGGAGGACAGACUUUCACAUCCUCACCACGGGCGUCUACACGUACACCACGGACAUGCGCUUCAGUGUGCUGCAUCCCGAAGGCACGGACGACUGGACACUGCAGAUCAAGUACGCGGAGGAGAGAGACAACGGAACCUAUGAGUGUCAGAUGUAUACAGGGACGGGCGUGCUCUCCCAGUUCGUUAAUCUGCACGUAAACCGCCCACGUGCAGCCAUCUUGGGGCCGCAGGAGCUUCACGUACAGGAGGGGGACACCAUCACCCUCGUGUGCGUCAUUCAGCAGCAGGGCAAGCCUCCCUUCGUGUUCUGGUACCACGGGGAGAAGAUGGUCAACUACGACGGCAGCAGGAACCGUCUGAGUGUGAUGACCAAGGUGGAGGGGACGAGGACUCACUCACGACUGACCAUCACAGACGCCAGGAGCUGGGACUCUGGUAAUUACUCCUGCAUCCCGCCUAACGUGGAGCCUUCCUUCGUCAUCGUCUUCGUCACAGAAGCAGGAGACACCGUGGCGGCAGUACAGCGGCGGGGUCACUCCUCCGCCCCGCCCCUCCUCUGCCCCUCCUUCUGCUCCUCCACCUCCGGGCUCCUCCUCGCGGUGGUCUUCAAGGUCGUCCUCACCCACCUCCUCCCCGUCAGAUGAUUCCACGGGCUUGCAAUUUAAAGGGAGAGAAAAUGUCCCUUUACUACCCUGAGAGAGAGAGAGAGAGAGAGAGAAAGAGAGUUUGUUUUGGGUUAGCAUUAUUCAUUUGCGACUUUUCACGAACAUUCCAUUAGUCUCCCACGAGCAGGGAAGGACGCACGUAUAUGCAAAUGAUAAUUAUUCUCCAGGCACAACAGGGGCCAUGCAUGCUUGCAAUACUACCGAGCAUGCGUACUGCGUCACCACCACCAUCACCACCACCGCCAACACCACCACCACUACCGACAACAAGGGAACUGUGUGUGUGUGUGUGUGGUGGCUAUGUCAACACACACACACACACACACACACACACACACACACACACACACACACACACACACACACAGUCACGCAUGUACACUCAAAUAUGGAAUGCAAACAGGACAUUCAGUAAAAAAGAGGAGGAAGAGGAGGGGAAAGAAGAAAAGGAUGUUUAUUGGUGUUUCAGGAUUAUUGACAGCUAGAGAAUAGGAAAAGAGGAAAUAUCAAAUAAAGAGGAGACAAGAAAUACUCUCUCUCUCUCUCUCUCUCUCUCUCUCUCUCUCUCUCUCUCUCUCUCUCUCUAGCUCUCUUUGCAACUCGCUUGAAGAAACCAUAAGAAGACGAAAACAAUGUUGAAACUUCUUCGCUUCUGUGACGAAUUCGACUUCGGAGGAAAACAAAACGAAGGAAAAUAUCGAAGAACUGGAAUGGAAAAAGAAAAAAGAGGAAAAAAGGAAAACAAAUACAGAAGUGUGUAGAAGAAUGAGUGAUGAAGGAAUGGAUGUUUUCUGUUUUCUUGACCUGAACAAGCUUGGAGGAAGGAAAAAAUGAAAGAAAAACGAAAAACAGAAGAAAAUUAGUCCUUCCUUUUCAGAAAAUACUGGUGAUAUACAUAGAGUUUUUUUUUUUUUUCCAAAGUGGUGUCCGUUUUCUGUUCCCUAGUGAUGGUGGAGAAAACGAUGGAGGACUAUGAUAAAUAAAACAAGUGGUAAAUAAAGAAAAGAGUGUUUUCGAAUGCGUUGAUAGUGCAGUGGUGUAUGAUAUUUGUAUGAGACUUGCGGACGUGUUUCGGGGAUUCACUUUUGGAAAAUAACUCUACACAGAUUUUUCGCAAUGUGUGUGUGUGUGUGUGUGUGUGUGUGUGUGUGUGUGUGUGUGUGUGUGUGUGUGUGUGUGUGUGUGUGUGUGU
This 3188-nucleotide unclassified non-coding RNA is filed under the name Portunus trituberculatus (swimming crab). RNAcentral's name for it is "uncharacterized LOC123519527, transcript variant X2". Lineage: Eukaryota; Metazoa; Arthropoda; Malacostraca; Decapoda; Portunidae. The record is from RNAcentral.